Molecule: ribosomal RNA, 442 nt
Filed under: uncultured bacterium
Lineage: Bacteria
Description: partial 16S ribosomal RNA
Rfam family: Bacterial small subunit ribosomal RNA
Source: RNAcentral
CCUACGGGGGGCUGCAGUGGGGAAUAUUGGACAAUGGGGGGAACCCUGAUCCAGCGACGCCGCGUGAGUGAAGAAGUAUUUCGGUAUGUAAAGCUCUAUCAGCAGGGAAGAAAGAAAUGACGGUACCUGACUAAGAAGCCCCGGCUAACUACGUGCCAGCAGCCGCGGUAAUACGUAGGGGGCAAGCGUUAUCCGGAUUUACUGGGUGUAAAGGGAGCGUAGACGGCGAUGCAAGUCUGAAGUGAAAGGCGGGGGCCCAACCCCCGGACUGCUUUGGAAACUGUAUGGCUAGAGUGCAGGGGAGGUAAGUGGAAUUCCUGGUGUGGCGGUGAAAUGCGUAGAUAUUAGGAGGAACACCAGUGGCGAAGGCGGCUUACCGGCGCCCAACUGACGCUGAAGCACGAAAGCGUGGGUAUCGAACAGGAUUCGCUACCCGUGUCGU